This 220-nucleotide ribosomal RNA is filed under the name uncultured bacterium. RNAcentral describes it as "partial 16S ribosomal RNA". It matches the Rfam family "Bacterial small subunit ribosomal RNA", at positions 30 to 248 of the family's 1533-position model. The record is from RNAcentral.
AUUGAACGCUGGCGGCAUGCCUUACACAUGCAAGUCGAACGGCAGCACGGGAGCAAUCCUGGUGGCGAGUGGCGAACGGGUGAGUAAUAUAUCGGAACGUGCCCAGUGAUGGGGGAGUAGCCCGGCGAAAGCCGGAUUAAUACCGCAUACGACCUACGGGUGAAAGCAGGGGAGUCGCAAGACCUUGCGUCAUUGGAGCGGCCGAUAUCAGAUUAGCUUG